GAUGAACGCUGGCGGCGUGCUUAACACAUGCAAGUCGAACGAUGAACCGGGUGCUUGCACUCGGGGAUUAGUGGCGAACGGGUGAGUAACACGUGAGCAACCUGCCCCUGACUCUGGGAUAAGCGCUGGAAACGGCGUCUAAUACUGGAUAUGUCCCGUCACCGCAUGGUGUGCGGGUGGAAAGAUUUUUCGGUUGGGGAUGGGCUCGCGGCCUAUCAGCUUGUUGGUGAGGUAAUGGCUCAUCAAGGCGUCGACGGGUAGCUGGCCUGAGAGGGUGACCGGCCACACUGGGACUGAGACACGGCCCAGACUCCUACGGGAGGCAGCAGUGGGGAAUAUUGCGCAAUGGGCGGAAGCCUGAUGCAGCAACGCCGCGUGAGGGAUGACGGCCUUCGGGUUGUAAACCUCUUUUAGCAGGGAAGAAGCGAGAGUGACGGUACCUGCAGAAAAAGCACCGGCUAACUACGUGCCAGCAGCCGCCGUAA
Molecule: ribosomal RNA, 485 nt
Filed under: uncultured bacterium
Lineage: Bacteria
Description: partial 16S ribosomal RNA
Rfam family: Bacterial small subunit ribosomal RNA
Source: RNAcentral